UACGAACUCUUCGCAGGUGAUGGUGUACCCAUGCCGAACACAGAAGUUAAGCCCUAGAACGCCGGAAGUAGUUGGGGGUUGCCCCCUGUGAGAUAGGGAAGUCGCUUAGCU
This 111-nucleotide ribosomal RNA is filed under the name Streptococcus pneumoniae. Lineage: Bacteria; Bacillati; Bacillota; Bacilli; Lactobacillales; Streptococcaceae. The record is from RNAcentral.